RNAcentral lists this transfer RNA (73 nucleotides) under Vicugna pacos (alpaca). RNAcentral describes it as "tRNA-Ala (AGC) (tRNA-Ala-AGC-228-1)". It matches the Rfam family "tRNA". From Rfam's summary of the family: Transfer RNA (tRNA) molecules are approximately 80 nucleotides in length. Their secondary structure includes four short double-helical elements and three loops (D, anti-codon, and T loops). Further hydrogen bonds mediate the characteristic L-shaped molecular structure. tRNAs have two regions of fundamental functional importance: the anti-codon, which is responsible for specific mRNA codon recognition, and the 3' end, to which the tRNAs corresponding amino acid is attached (by aminoacyl-tRNA synthetases). tRNAs cope with the degeneracy of the genetic code in two manners: having more than one tRNA (with a specific anti-codon) for a particular amino acid; and 'wobble' base-pairing, i.e. permitting non-standard base-pairing at the 3rd anti-codon position. The record is from RNAcentral. Lineage: Eukaryota; Metazoa; Chordata; Mammalia; Artiodactyla; Camelidae.
GGAGGGUAUAGCUCAGUGGUAGAGCACAUGUUUAGCAUGCAUGAGGUCCUGGGUUCAAUCCCCAGUACCUCCA